RNAcentral lists this long non-coding RNA (3952 nucleotides) under Pelobates cultripes (western spadefoot toad). The record is from RNAcentral. Lineage: Eukaryota; Metazoa; Chordata; Amphibia; Anura; Pelobatidae.
CUGUAGGGCAAUAUGCACUGCCUGCCCUGUCCUUUAUAGCCCUUGGCUACCUAAGCUCAUACUCAGUCUUGGCGCUGUAAAAAUGUAAGUAAAAUACUAUUUUAAUAUCUUUUUAUGCUGAACGGCAGGGUGGGUGACUACCAGACCCAUGGAUAAGAGCACUAAAGCAUUAGGAAUACACAUUUGCAUUCCUAAUGUUUUGGUGUUCCUUUCAAUACUAGUUUGUACAUGGAAUUAAUUCUAGUUCCUUGUCUGUAUUCACUAUGAUGCCCCGUUGCAGUAGGGUAAACAAUCAUUGUCUUGCGCUGGUAACUAUUUUUAAAAGGUUCGAUGCUUUUAAAUAUAUUUUUGAAUGAAUUAUCUGAACUUAAAAUGUUGCCAUUAUAACAUUAUAUUUCAUAAAACAUACAUAACUUUAUUAUUUAGAAUGGAUGCUCAUUUUGCACUUUUUGAAUCUGCAGAGUGUUUUAGAACAGGAGGAGUAAUCAGGAGAGAGGAAAUGUUGGAUGGAUUUCAAUUUCAGGAAGGGUGAUCAGAUUUCAUAUAGGAAGGGUGAGUGAGCAGUAGGGGUGGAAAAUAACAAACCACCAAGCUACAAUACAAUUAAAGGAACUAAACUGCUAUACUUUUUAUUUAUGUUUACUGAAACAUGAAGGUUACAUGGAUUAUAGCAUCUGUGCAUAUUUUUGCAAUUUACACAUAUAAGUAUAUAUUUAUUGUUAGUGCAUCUCCUGGCUUACCUUGGCUUUGUAUGGGACACUAUAGUCACCAAAUCAACCUUAGCUUAAGGAAGCAGUUUAGUGUAUAGAUUAUGCCUCUGAAGUCUCACUGCUCAGUUCUCUGCCAUUUAAAAAGUUAAAUAACUUUCUGUUCAUACCACCCUAGCCACAUCUCUAGCUGCAGCACUGGCAGUGACUCACACGCAUUACAAAAAAAUUAUUUAAUUUUCAAUCCGUUAACUUACUUUAGAUGUUUUUAUCUCCUGCUCUGUAAGUUGAACUUUAAUCACACACAGUAGGCUCCUGCAAGGUCUAGCAAGCCAAUAACAGAGCAGGGGGUAGGAAAUUCUAACUUAAACAGACGGUGCAAUAAAGGAAGCGUAAACAUUAGAUCUCUCUUCACAGAAAGUAUUUUGGAAGGCUGUGCAAGUCACAUGCAGGGAGAUGCGACUAUGACUGCAUAAACAAAGGGAUUUAACUACUAAAUACCAGAGAAUCGAGCAGUGAGACUGCAGAGGUCCCUUUACAGUUUCCCUUUAUGUCCACUUUGGCUAGAGGUAUCCGCUAUCUGCCAAGACAUGAGUUAAAACCAGCACAUUUUGGAAAUGUCUAGCAUUUCUGCAUGACAUCAUGGUUUUUGAAUAUGCACUAACAUUUACAGGGUUAUUCACUUCAGUGAGAAUUGUCAUGAAGUUAAAGUGAAUUUCACAUUUAAGGCCAGAGUAGACAAACUGAAAGUGUAGAUGACUUGGGUAAUUUUUCAGUUUGGUUAUUUUAGACUUACAUUUAAAAUUAUUAAUAAUUAAUUCCUGAAGGUUCUCAAAAAAGAAAAACCCUGGUAAUUAUUUGCAGGGGCUUUUGAACAUAAAUGUUGAUUCUGGUUCAAGAGGAUUUAAAGAUGGCUGCCUCUUUAGAGAAAUGAUAAGACAGGAAAUAAACUGAAAUGCAUUUAUGUGUAUUUAUUAUGAAAUAAUUCACACAGAGGAUAUAAUACAUGUAAGUUUUAUUUCAAAUAAUGUAAAAAUACAAAAAUGUUCCUUUAUAGGUGAAUUCUGAUAAACUUGCUUUUUAUGACUUUGAACAAUUCCAUAAAAUCAAAAAUUAGAGAAGCCUCUAUUACAGUGAUCUCAAAGAAACCAAGAGGGGUCAUUUUUAGCUGCCUGUAAAGUUUAAAGGGAUACAUCAAUGUUUUACAUCUCAGGGCUAAACACAAAACAUCAUUGAAAUGGAGGAACAGCAAUGUUUACGUUGCAGGGCUAAACACACCUCUAGUGGCUGUAACACUAACAUCCACUAGAUGGUGCUUCUUCAUUGAGAACUGAGUCAGACUUGAAACAUUACAUGACGACACCGAAAGUUCAAUCAAUGCUUUUCAUAGAGAGGCAUUUGAUUCAGAGCUUCUCUAUGAGAAGCAUUUGAUUGGAUGAGUGCAGUAGUUGCUGUGCAUGUGCUUCUAGUCUACAAGAAACAUUUAAUUGGACGAGAAAUUUAAAAGGAGAGAAGACAAAACAGAAGAUGGAGUGGGGGACUUCAUGGACUGAGUCUUGGUACUAGGAAGUAAAGGGUUAUUUAGAUUAAAUUUUUAAACAUAAAAGACUGGGUCUGGGUUUCACAAUUAAGCGAGUAAACAAAUUACAUUAAAAAAAAAUAUAUAUAUAUAUAUAUGGAAAUAUAUAUAAUUUUUAUAACAAUAGUAUCUUUGUUAAUGUUAAUGCAACCAAUAGUCAUCCUUUACAGAAUAUUUUGUUAUAUCAAAGUUAUUUUAUUUCUUAUCCAGAACACUUUACAAUGUAUGCAACUAAACGGUGGCCAUUAUGCAAACAAGGGAUAAAUAAUUAGGCACAGUGAAACAAAAGGGGAAGAAAACUUUGCCUGUGAGCUUAAAACCUAGAGAAAAAAAAUGCACAUUUAGACAAAAGGUUGUGCAGAGAAAUAAAAUUGUGAAGUAACACUUCAAAUUCCUGAAGUGGUCAUGUACUUGGAGUAACCCUUUAAGGGCUAUGGGUAAAGUCUCUCUUUCCCUCUCGUUUUUAUGAAAAGUCCUUUUUUUUAUGAAAGAAAAAUAAAAAAGGAGAAUGACUGCUUAGCUAUUUAGAGAGCAAUCCAUUACGGCAACUCAGCACGUUUCACAUUUCACAGGUACACACACAUAUAUAUGUAUGAGAUUGUCUCACAGAAACACUGAUUCACACACACAAACACUAACAAAUACACAUACAAAAACACAGACACUCACAGAUAUGUUCACACAUGUUCAUACAAAUUCAGACACACAGAAUCACACUCAGUCACAGAAUCAGACACACACUCAGAUCAACACACAGUCAUAGAUUCACACUGAGAUGGAGAAUAUACUACUGUUCUGCCUACCAGCCACCACACUUCAUAAAGAUAAAUAGAAAGAGCUGAGGCUGUGCACAUUGCAGCUUCAAUUGCAGUGAACCUAUUUUGGGCAUAAGCCUGGAGCUCCGUCAGCCCACAUAUCAAUUUGGCCCUGCCCCUAGCCAUCAAUCAUUAUUUUUCCUCAUCAAACAUUUAUUUUUCCGAUGCUAAAGAAAGUCAGGCAGGAUCACGAAUCAAAAAUAUUUUCAACCAUUGCACAGCUCAUUUGGUUCAUGAGUCAGCUACAUUACGGCUUGGAGUUUGGGAAUUCGACCAAUCACCUGGUCCGCCCAAAUUCGGAGGAAUUGCCGUUUGAAGCAAGUUUCCAAGUCUACUUAAUAUUAUAAAUCUUUGACACUGUGUAAAAUUUACCUCAUUCGAUUAAUUCAUUUGACAUAUUUUACAUCAAUUGCCUUUUAGAGACAUACCAUAAAUAUACCACAGUCUUAUUCUGUGUACAUAUAUUUAACAUUUGAACUAACUUUCCAUUUCACCUCACUAUUGGUUUUAAAAAAGCAUCUGCGCCAAUCUGCACCAGAUGGAAUAUAUUUGAAUAAUUCCUAGAACUAAACUAACUAAUAAUUCUGACUUCCACACUAAUGUUACAUUUCUGGUGUGUUUUGAAAGUGUGUUAGAUUGUAAAAUUACAGUGGGUUUGUUCAGGCAGUGGUUACAUUUUUAUUUGUCUUUGUUUUCAGGAAGAAGCUAUACAUCUGCUGUUCUGUAGUCUCAGCCAGAUCAGACUGGUUUCAACUGGUUCAGAGCAGUUUGUGAGUUUAACACCCGCAGGAGCUGCCUGGAAUAUCUGGAGCAGACUCUGAUGGAAACAUCAGAUGGAACUGAAUAUUUAC